GAUCCAAUGUGUGCAUUUUAAUUUUGCUAACUACGAAAAUCGAUCUCUAAGGAUCAGGCUAUCUUCUUUCAGAUUCUUCUUUCGUUUUUGACCACAAACCUGUUUUAGAGAGAGUGAAUAGCACCGAGAGUCGGUGCCACAAAGUGAUGUUCGCCCUCAUUUCGUCGGUUAGACAAAAACAUUUCCUACACGCUGAAUGAAUCACGUUUUUAGGCUCAUUCCUGUUUUUACAAUUCUCACAGAGCUCUCAGAGUAAGUGUGCCCUGAUGGGGCAUGUGGGGCAACGGGUUAUGAUGGCUUACGUUGACUAACUUUUCGGAUACAACUUUACUUCAUUUAUUAGUUUACGUUCAGUAAUACAAAGUUUUAAUUCUCUGAUUUCAGUGCCAAAAGAAUAAUCAACCCUCUAUGCGGAGCCAACUGGUAUGCUCAAAGUUGGUCGGUUCCAAGAAAUACCUACUUCAACUAUAUAGGCACCAACAGCAUCCAGUAUUUCAGAUUGCAUCCCAACUACUUCUUCAACUCGGAAGUGUUCAGAAUAAAGGUGCAAGGCUUCGGAUAUGGCAUGAUAAACGUGUGCCAUAGUCGGACGAACGAGCGACCCUCGGCGAAUAGCACCUACUUGCAGGACAUCACGUGUCGACAGAUCAACACGGACUCGUACAUCAUCGAGAUCGGAGAGCCGUGCGUCGAUUUCGACUACGCCAUCCAAUGUCCACCGCUCUUCAUCUCCGUUGCCUCCGGUCGGCCCACCAUUCAGCAAGCCUUCAGAUGCAACGAGGACAAUUGCAGAAACCCAGCUCAGAUCAAAUUCUCCAUCAGCUCAGAGGGUCUGACGUGCCACAGUGGAGCGGCGUCCAUGAAAAUUCACCCUCACUCAGUCAUCUUCGCCACUCUUGCGUCCCUUCUUGUGUUCUUUUCGAAAUCAAAAUUAGUUUAAGAACUUGGUAAUAGACAGCGGCAUGUAAAUCAUUCAUUACGUGCCUCAAACUUGGUCGUUGUUCCAACUGUUAAUAUGAAGCUUGAGGAUGUGAUUAUGCGUUGUGAUCUCUGCCGAGUGCCGAGUGACUAGAGAAGUCCUCGCGUUGUGACGUUUGAGUAAAGUGUGUCAUUAUGCUGUUAUUCCGCAUGCAGCUACAUCUCAAGUGAUAGUUUUCUUCCUUCAAUUUAAUAUCAUGUUACCUAAUUGUAUCGAUCUCUCUUCUACCGUUUGUCCUUGGGUCGUUUUAUUAAGCACGAAUGCAUAUUCCGAUUGAAUUUUGGAAUAGACGCACCCUAAUAAUGAAGGGGGGAGGGGUACUUAUAAUGAAUCCGUCCAGCAAAAGCUCCCUAGCGGAUGAAAAAAACGAUCGACGUAUGGACUGAAUUAAACAGAUAAGAACCAAGUCACAUUUUAGGGGAAAUAGUCGCGAGGGAUGACUCUAGUUUUAAAUGACCACAAAUUUUCUUUUGUCAAAAUCCAAACGCAAAGAAAAAUAUUUUGAACGCAUCUCUGGUUUGUAACGAUCCUAGCGAGUUAGUGACGCUAUCUUUUGUCUUUUAUCUAUCGAUUCUAGAUGAUACAGAAUGCUUCAAAUGCUUCUUCUAUUUGCAGAAUCAACGGUUUUGAUGACUUUCAUUAAAUGAACAAAAAAUAUGUUGCUAACUUUCAAGAGUAGCCAUUGCCUUUGGCACUGAGUUUAGCGGAGAAAUAAAGCUUUUAAGCUCUUAUCCUUUUUUUUUAUUUCAGGAUGACUUGGUUUCUCUCUGUUGAACGUAAUUAUUAUUUGUAACACAUGCGAUAAUCAUCUACUACGCCUGCCAUCCUCUUUGAAGCACGUAGUCCAAAUAGACUAAUUGAAAAGAGAAUUGAACCUUCAGAUUUUUGUAAUCCCGUACUGCUCACACCAGGCAUCAUCCUCGCUUGUAAAUUUUGAGCAAAUUGAUUCAGAAACUUAUAAUUUUGUGAGUACUCCUAAGUCAAAAGAAACAUCUUUUGGGAUUCCCCAAAAUUUUUAAGAGGCCACCGUAAAAGGGGUAAGAACCUAAGUGGUUUCAGGGGUGGUGCAGGACUUUUGGAUCACCCUGUAUACUAAAACAAACAGGGAAGCAGACGUAUGUCUAAACCUUGUAAUAUUUGUUCUUCACAAUUUCCUGCGAUUCUUAAAAUGCCGAAAACCAACGCAGUAUAUGUGCUUGUUCUUUAGACUUGGUGUUUCAAAGUUCCAAGCUCAGUACAACAAAUCAGCACGGAGUUCCCCUGCUUUCGAGCAAUAUGGUAACUGAUCCCCUUAAAAAGUUUAAACGUAAAAUGUUGCUUCAGCGGCAAGUUCAAAUCCAAUUCGAACUGAAGAUGCACGGUAACUAAUUUUAGACUUAAAUUAAAAUUUCGGAUCCUAAAAGUCCCUAUAAAAUGUUUCGCUGCUCGUUUAGCGCAAAUGCGUGCGAAAUGACUCAAAACUUUGAGGUAAGACCACAGGUUUGAAUUCCUGGCUCGAACAGACUACAAUCAAAGAAUCUGAAAUAUAUCUCUUCAUCUUCUUAGGGAGUUUAAGGGAUAUCGCAGGGUGAAUCCUAGUACACCAUGGGGAGGCUUGUUUACAGGAGUCUUAAUGAAGCCAUGACGAAACCAUCACCGCGUAUUCCCCUCCUGUUUAAAUACCUACCUCUAAAGGUCCAGAACCGGCGGAGAGUUUGACUGCCGUUUCGAAGAUCAAUUAAAUCAAGUUCAUAUACUUGAAUAUUUCUACUUUUUAUACAGUUUUGUAAUUCAUUUUAGGUUUAAAUUGCGUGAUUAUUAAUUCAUAUUCAUUUUUUGUAAAAUAAAAAUGGUUUAAAAGUCAAUUUUUCCAUUUCAAUUUAUUCUGUCUUAACAUUACCUCAAAAAAGCUUGGCCAGGGUGGCCUAAGACACCCUGUG
This 2898-nucleotide long non-coding RNA is filed under the name Bemisia tabaci. Its description in RNAcentral is "lncRNA ENSSSA2NGG012779". The record is from RNAcentral. Lineage: Eukaryota; Metazoa; Arthropoda; Insecta; Hemiptera; Aleyrodidae.